GAAGGUAUAGCUCAGUGGUAGAGCGCAUGCUCAGCAUGCACGAUCCUGGGUUCCAGCUCCAGUCCCUCCA
Molecule: transfer RNA, 70 nt
Filed under: Camelus bactrianus (Bactrian camel)
Lineage: Eukaryota; Metazoa; Chordata; Mammalia; Artiodactyla; Camelidae
Also listed under: 1 other name
Rfam family: tRNA
About the family: Transfer RNA (tRNA) molecules are approximately 80 nucleotides in length. Their secondary structure includes four short double-helical elements and three loops (D, anti-codon, and T loops).
Source: Rfam by way of RNAcentral